CACUGUAUUAUACUGACCUGCAAAAAUCCAAUCGUGUCUGAGUUCAGAAGCUAAGCAGGGUCCAGCCUGGUGAGUGCAUGAAUAGGAGACCACAUAGGAAUACAUACCAGCAAUUCCAGGUA
This 122-nucleotide ribosomal RNA is filed under the name Pogona vitticeps (central bearded dragon). The record is from RNAcentral. Lineage: Eukaryota; Metazoa; Chordata; Lepidosauria; Squamata; Agamidae.